Molecule: ribosomal RNA, 852 nt
Filed under: Escherichia coli
Lineage: Bacteria; Pseudomonadati; Pseudomonadota; Gammaproteobacteria; Enterobacterales; Enterobacteriaceae
Description: bacterial LSU rRNA
Rfam family: Bacterial large subunit ribosomal RNA
Source: RNAcentral
AACCUUUACUAUAGCUUGACACUGAACAUUGAGCCUUGAUGUGUAGGAUAGGUGGGAGGCUUUGAAGUGUGGACGCCAGUCUGCAUGGAGCCGACCUUGAAAUACCACCCUUUAAUGUUUGAUGUUCUAACGUGGACCCGUAAUCCGGGUUGCGGACAGUGUCUGGUGGGUAGUUUGACUGGGGCGGUCUCCUCCUAAAGAGUAACGGAGGAGCACGAAGGUUGGCUAAUCCUGGUCGGACAUCAGGAGGUUAGUGCAAUGGCAUAAGCCAGCUUGACUGCGAGCGUGACGGCGCGAGCAGGUGCGAAAGCAGGUCAUAGUGAUCCGGUGGUUCUGAAUGGAAGGGCCAUCGCUCAACGGAUAAAAGGUACUCCGGGGAUAACAGGCUGAUACCGCCCAAGAGUUCAUAUCGACGGCGGUGUUUGGCACCUCGAUGUCGGCUCAUCACAUCCUGGGGCUGAAGUAGGUCCCAAGGGUAUGGCUGUUCGCCAUUUAAAGUGGUACGCGAGCUGGGUUUAGAACGUCGUGAGACAGUUCGGUCCCUAUCUGCCGUGGGCGCUGGAGAACUGAGGGGGGCUGCUCCUAGUACGAGAGGACCGGAGUGGACGCAUCACUGGUGUUCGGGUUGUCAUGCCAAUGGCACUGCCCGGUAGCUAAAUGCGGAAGAGAUAAGUGCUGAAAGCAUCUAAGCACGAAACUUGCCCCGAGAUGAGUUCUCCCUGACUCCUUGAGAGUCCUGAAGGAACGUUGAAGACGACGACGUUGAUAGGCCGGGUGUGUAAGCGCAGCGAUGCGUUGAGCUAACCGGUACUAAUGAACCGUGAGGCUUAACCUUACAACGCCGAAGCUGUU